AGCUCCAAUAGCGUAUAUUAAAGUUGUUGCAGUUAAAAAGCUCGUAGUUGGAUUUCGGAAUGGGCCAGUUGGUCCGCCGCAAGGUGAGUUACUGACUGGUUUGUUCUUCUUCGCAAAGACUGCGUGUGCUCUUUACUGAGUGUACGUAGGAUUUACGACGUUUACUUUGAAAAAAUUAGAGUGUUCAAAGCAGGCUAUCGCUUGAAUACAUGAGCAUGGAAUAAUGGAAUAGGACUUUGGUGCUAUUUUGUUGGUUUCUAGGACCGAAGUAAUGAUUAAGAGGGACAAUUUGGGGCAUCCGGAUUUCGUUGUCAGAGGUGAAAUUCUUGGAUUUACGAAAGACGAACAACUGCGAAAGCACUUGCCAAGAGUGUUUUCA
RNAcentral lists this ribosomal RNA (379 nucleotides) under marine Metazoa environmental sample. RNAcentral describes it as "SSU rRNA". It matches the Rfam family "Eukaryotic small subunit ribosomal RNA", at positions 587 to 972 of the family's 1831-position model. The record is from RNAcentral. Lineage: Eukaryota; Metazoa.